AGAAGUCGCCCCCUUGUUCCUUGUGUCUGUCGUGUGCCUUCUUCGCCCCUUUGUUCUUGUUAUAACCCCCACACGAACACGUGAAAGGUUUCAGUAACGGGGGUGACGCCAAGCGAAACAUCAGAUUCGAAGUUUGAAAUACAUUCAGUUCUAACCUCAUUGUGUUUCUAGGUAUCGUGGUUGUAUAGCUUGCAGGCGUGACCUCGUUUGUGAAAACAACACGCAUCACGUGAUUGUUCGUUCGGAUAUUCGUAACUGGAAUACGAGGUUGGACGACAAUGGACUUCGUGUUUGUGAAUCUCAGCGCUGUUUUAAGUUUAACGUCAAAGAACCUUCUAGUGAAUUAAGAAAGACACGAAAGUUUCUGCUGUCCAAUUGUUGACAUCAAAUAAGCGAUCCAGUGAAUCUUUUAUCUGAAUAAUAAGACUUAACGUGGUUUUACACAGUUCCCACCAGGUUGCGGAAAUCUGAACAAAAGGUAAAGAAUAGUGACUGAACAGGAAGAAAUUUAUUUGCAACACACGAUGCCACACUCGCAGCCAUCAACAGAUUCGUCACAACAAAACCUGGACAACCCUGACACGAACUUACUUUCAGCGUUUUACACCGAAUGAAUUGAUAUCACGUCUAACACUGCCUCGCCCAGCUAAUAUUCAGCAAUAGUUUUUUGUUCUAUAAUAAAUGUUUAUGACUUA
Non-coding RNA from Zootermopsis nevadensis, 695 nucleotides. NCBI's taxonomy places the organism in Eukaryota, Metazoa, Arthropoda, Insecta, Blattodea, Termopsidae. The record is from RefSeq and is a predicted model, not a curated record.